Molecule: ribosomal RNA, 377 nt
Filed under: uncultured bacterium
Lineage: Bacteria
Description: bacterial SSU rRNA
Rfam family: Bacterial small subunit ribosomal RNA
Source: RNAcentral
UAAUACGGGGGGUGCGAGCGUUGUCCGGAAUCACUGGGCGUAAAGGGCGCGUAGGUGGUUUGAUAAGGGCGUGGUGAAAGUCCGGGGCUCAACCCCGGAUCUGCCGUGCCGACUGUCAAACUCGAGGACUGUAGAGGCAGACGGAAUUCCGGGUGUAGCGGUGGAAUGCGUAGAGAUCCGGAGGAAGACCGGUGGCGAAGGCGGUCUGCUGGGCAGUUUCUGACACUGAGGCGCGACAGCGUGGGGAGCAAACAGGAUUAGAUACCCUGGUAGUCCACGCCGUAAACGAUGGGUACUAGGUGCCUGGGGGAGCGACCCUCUGGGUGCCGGCGCUAACGCAGGAAGUACCCCGCCUGGGGAGUACGACCGCAAGGUUG